RNAcentral lists this long non-coding RNA (7340 nucleotides) under Triticum aestivum (bread wheat). RNAcentral describes it as "long non-coding RNA (TAES_LNC000648)". Lineage: Eukaryota; Viridiplantae; Streptophyta; Magnoliopsida; Poales; Poaceae. The record is from RNAcentral.
UCCCACUCCCCUCCUCCGCCUCCGCCUCCGCCUCCGCCUCCGCCGCCGCCCCUCUCACACAAUUCUCCAUUAUCUAUAGCAAUUCUAGUCCUCUGUAUGGUCUCUACUUCUUUGUUGACACCAUACCUUCCCACCAUUAGGCACCAUACCUAUGGCUGGGAGCUCGCCUCACCAUCUGACCUCCUCCUACCGCUCAUUCUCAAUUUGUUGCCAACUGAAAGCCUUGAUCCAUUCCUCCUAGUUUUAGCUUUUAGAUCGCAAGAAGCUACGACAGAAGCCACCAGAUCUAGAUAGAUCAAAAUACCCUCAACACACGCCACUUCUCGCCAUCGCUGCUCUUCAGAUCUAUGGCGGGCCUCGAUGGAUGCCCAUGGUGUAGAUCUCGCGGCAAAGAUGGAUCACGACGCUCGACUGGAUUUCCCCCAAUCCGAGAGAGAAGGCACGACAUAUAAGGUACCUUCUUAGCAAAUCCUAUAAUCGUUAGCAAAAUCAUCCAUUGAGAAGAUGUCUCCUCGUGAUUUUAACAGGAGGUGAUUUCAGGCUACCAGAUCUGUAGAUGACAACACCCUCGGCUCUCAUUGCUAUGCACAUGUCUAAGUUAUUGUACAAUCAUUGCUCACUAGAGCUACGGUGGGCCUUAAGUAAAUCUCCAUAGCAUAAAGCUAAUGACAAAAAUGGAUCAUGACGCCCAAUUAGAUUGACUCAAUACUGGAAGGUCAAGCAUGACACAUGAGGUACGUAAUUAACCGUUCCUACAACAUUCUCAAGAUCAUGCAUUGAAAAUCAUUCCCGUCGUGGCCUUAAUGAUGACGCGAUCACAUGCCACCACAUAUAUAUAUAUAUAUAUAUGUCAACAUCCUCGCUUUUCAUCUUUGUGUAAAUCUAACGAAGAAGAUGGGUCAUGAUGCGUGACUACAUGGCCUAAAACACAAGAUCAAUCAUGAUAGAUCAUGUACCUAGCUACUUAGUAGAUCCCAAAAGCAUCUGUAAAAACAUGCUUUGAAAAAUGAAAGAAACGAUACAACUCAGUAGUUAGAUUACCAUGGCAAAAUUAUGACAUUUACAUGCCAUAUCUACAGGAGCAAUCGGGGCUAGAGCACCUUCAUCCAUUUUAUGCAACCGUGAUUCCAGGAUGAGGUAAGUCUUGUGUUAGCUUUGUGAGAUGAACACCCUUCUAAAUAUUUAUCUUAACGUGUCCCAUUGCUUGAUAUCGAAUAAGUCACUCUCUUAGAGAUUAGCCACUCUGAUUUAGUUAACAAAAGGGCAUUACGAUUUUUCAAAUGAUUUCAUAUGGAGAUUAUGUGACUUCUGGGGAGAUGAUUAACAUAGACCAUGCCUCAUUUAUAUCCUACUAGUGUCUUGUGAUGUGUGAAGUUACUCUGGGCACCCUCCUCACAAAAAAAAACUUUUUAAUACCUGGUGGAAUGUUUAAAAUAAUAGUGAAAAAUUGAUGGGAAUAACAUAUAUACUCCUUUGUUAGCGUACCAUCUAAUCCUAGCUAGUUCAGUCAAAUGAACUAAAUAAUUGCAUGCCUAUUCAUAGAUACAUGUCGUUUUGGACAUUGACUUUGUCUCUACAUACACCUUUGAUUGUUACGUUAUACAUGAAUAUACUAGGAAAAUAAUAUUCGAACUAUGUUAGGGGAGUAUUUUUCAUGUCAAUAAAUUGCUAGCUAAGGUGGUUAUCUUUUUUCUUUUGCCAAACCAAUCCGUUGUGUGUUCCCAAACAUCAACUCACUUCAUGGUGUUGUUAUUUAUGAGAACAAAUACAAGAACAUCAAAGAAACUAAAAGAAAAGAAACACAAUAAAAAUAAUAUAAGUUGGGUUCGGGAACACAACCAAUUUCUUUCACAAACAAUAGCUAACCACCUGAGGUGGCAAUGUUUCCAAUGAAUCCUAGAAUGGUUUUGUUCGUUGGCACGCAUACUUCGACAGGCUCCGGUCGCGGACUAGGACAUACCAUGGGAACCCCUACAAAGUAUUGAUGUGUUAGUGGUUGGCCUCCUCUCUCCCACCUACCUGGUUUUAUUUUCCUUGGUUGUUUAGCCUUGUAUUGCUUUACUUUUGUUUGACACUUCAUUUGGCUGGCUGGCCAACAGUUUGUUUGAUAUCGAACCGAAGGACUUCACUUAUUUAAAGUCGGGCAAGCACCUUUCAUCUAAAAAUAUCCUAAACCAUGACGCCAACUGUCAGUUAGUGAACCAGAUGAUGACAUCUCAUCUCAGCACCAUCUAAGAUGGCGUGACUCCAAAAAAGCCAAUACAAAUGCCCCCCCCCCCCAACACACACGCAUACAUACGCUACUACUACCUUGAGGCCUCAAUGGUAGUACCGCCUAACUCCUAAGGGUCGGAGGUGCAAUAUUGUUUUGGACGGGGCCACACAUUCGAUUUGAUUGUGGGAAAGACCAUGUAGAACCAAAAAAAGUCAGUACUGGUAGUAUUUUGAUUCAUAGUGUGUGGACACACAUAAAACAAUUGCCCGUUGUAUUCUUUUGGACCUCCAAAUAACUUGCAUCUUCAAAAUUUGAGGCCAUCCCCGGGUUUCAUACCUGAAACGCUUUUGAGCUCUCUGCGGGUGCCUCUUCACUGACAAAUUUUAGGUGGUUGGCAACUUGAAAAACCUGAAGCUUCUUGCAGGCCACCUAUUUCUCAAGAGAGCAACUCGUUUAAUCCUGGGCCAAGACCAUGAAACCUAAUGCUGAUUCCCUUUGGGUGGAGUUGCAGCCUUUUUGUACAUUAGAUAGUAGUCCAUGCGAGGUUGAGGGUAUGAAGUCAGUGUACAGAUAGAACAUACGUCUACUGUGUCACAAAAUUUUAAUAUGAAUUUAAUUUACAACUAGAAGCAAAAAGACAGAUCAUCCUAUGAACAAUUGUUUAUUCAAAAUCAGUUGUAAAUUAGGGCCAUCAACACCACCACAUCUUUAUUUCUUAUUUUUGUUUCUUGAAUUGUGAAUUGAACUUUGUAGUGAAAUUGUAUACCAUGUUAAAUGUAUCCAGCGUGUAUGUACUCGAUUUUUUUCAGUUUUUUUGUGAACUUUUGAUAUGUGUUUUUGGCCUUUGAUACACCGGUUGUACAAAAAUUCUAGGCGGAUAGGAUACUCUCCAAGAGCUGGUCAUGGCAGAGAAUGUAUUCUGUGCACCAAGAGCUCUUGUACAGCCGAUGCAUCAGAACAUAAAAGUCAAUACUAAAAGUUCUAAGAAACAAUUCAGUUAGAAGUUCAACUCAAGGCUUGAGAAACAUAAAUGACAAAUUUGGUUGUGGUAGUGUUAAUUGCACAGUUCAUAGCCCAAUUUGAUUAAACUACCAUCUGUAGCAUGAUUGGGCUUUUUUUUUGUUUCUCACGUUGUGAGUUGAAUUUGUAACUGAAAUAUUUUAACAUUAUAGAUGAACAUUAUGUCUAUAUGAUCAUUUUCCGAAACUUUUAUUAUAUAGAUCUAUACUGUAGGGUGCACCAGUUGCACAAGAACUACUGUGCACAGGAUACUCCCUCGGCCAUGACAAGUUGGCAACUGAGAACAUAUCCUCCUGUGCACCCAUGGUUUCUAUGCAACCUGUGCACCCAAUUAGAAAAACACAUUACAGGUUUCCAAAAAAUUUGAAAAUAGUUUAGCAUAAAGAGACAACAUAGGUAUGAUUAGAUAUGUAAUAAUAACUAGCUGAUGGUUUCCAUAAUUUGUUUGCUUUUAACAGCUAAAACACUUCCAGUAGGACUAAAUUGUUUUGGGUAAACCUCCUUCAUUUUCUGAAAGAACUAUAGAGAUUUCGAGAUUUAUGCUAAAAUUUACCUUCCAACUCUAUAUCGUAAAAUUAGUCUUACCAUGAUUCACUAGUUACAGGGUAACUAUACUAGUUGCCUGAAAUCAUACAGACCAAAUAGCCAAAAGCUUUAUGUUGAACUUUCCACUCACUCUGCCUCCAACUAUGGCAUGGCAGUCUUCUACAUUUGGGGCUAGAUAAGUUAUUAACUUUGUGUAGCAUAUAUAUAGUCCAUGGCCCAUAACAUGCUUAUGAAUCGGCUAAGUCAAUGUCAAUGUCACCGAAGUACGCACUUACAGAUCUAUAAUCCAUUCUUAUAGCGGCGUGUACAUUCACAUUAUCAGAUAUGCGCCAGUAGAUUGAGACAGGCAGAGGAGAGAUCAUGAGAGAAAUGACGCGGAGACGUGCAACUUUUAGCAUUCAACGAGAACGUCUCGGCAUCAUAUCAUCGUAUAGAGUUGAAACAUGAGGCGUUCUAAAUGGUAAUGCAACUUUUCUUAAGACUGACAGCAUUCUCCCAAGAGGAAAAUACUGUAUGAAGCAUCCUCAAGUUACAUUAACAAGUACUUAAAAUAAGAUUUGAACUCGCAGAGGUUAAGAUAACAUUUUUUUUUUACACCUCCACCAAUCUUCCUGCUUCUUCAUGGCUUCUUUUCAGAGUCCUUGGCCUGCUCCUCCUCCGCCCUCAGCACCUCCGCGGCAGCAAGCAUCAUGUCCACAAGAGGUGUCAUGAAUGAUGCUGGGGAGGGGAAUGCACUGUUUUCAUCAGAACCUUGUGUCGAAUUGCUGGGUACAGGGUUCUUGGGGUCAGUGGUUGUGGCCAUUGCCGGCUGCACAACAGUCCCUUUUCGUGCAGUCCACUUUGGUUUCCGCCUUCUACUGUCCAACCAACGUUUCACCUCCUUGGAGACAUGUUUAGGAGCAGAUGGGCAGGCCCUUACCCUGGUGCUGCCACCAGCAACAUGAUGCUUGAGGCUGGUGACGCCGCCGCUGCGCCCAACCAUGGGGCAGUACUUGCACUUCCAGUUUCUGUUUCCGUCGAUGAUGAUACCAUGCUGCCAUCCCUUACGAUCCCUGAUUUUCAGGGAACCUUGUGCGCUCUGCCAAAUUUAGGAGUGUUAGAUAGUUGUACAGAUCAGAUCAGGUUCCAUUCGGAAAAAAAAAAGAUCAGAUCAGGUUCUCUCUGCUGCAAUCUAAAAAAGACUGCCAUGCCAGAGUUGGAGCACACGAGAUUUUUGUCUAUUGGUUUUGUGAGUUGUUUUGCCCCAUAAUGUCAACUAGUUCAGGGAUUGGAUGAAAAUUCAGGGCAAGCCCUUUUUUCAGUCCACGGAGUUGACUGAUAAAAUCUAUCAGAAAUCCAUAAGAUCUGGAGUUCUUCGAGACAAAAAAAAAAUUUAAGGCAGAAAUUACCCAGAACAAGAAACCAUCUCAAGAAACAUCACAGAAAAAAUAGCCCUAGAAUCCGCUAGCACAGAAUUGCAACGCAGAAGAUAAAUCGCAUACGGCCUUUCUACCAACAGAAUCGAUCCUACAAGCGAGAAUUCGACAGGAUCAUACCGGCUGCUCCGGGGUGGUCUCUGGAGCCGGCCGCCGGGGCCUCUUGCAGGGCCGUACUGAAUCUGAAUCGUCGGACAGCGAGUCCGAGCAGCGCAUCUUCUCCUUCCCCUUGUUGUUCUGUUUGUCAGCCAUCUACAAAAGUUUCGACCCAGAAACGAGGAUCCUGCAUCAAAUCCAACCGAAAUUGUCACUACUACACCACUAUCCACUACCCAACGAAAGAUAAUGAGAAGAAAAUUUGCAACCUGAACAGAAAGCGUCGGAGAGGAGGGCUGACGGUAGAUGAUCCGGCAAUGCCUGGUGACAAACUUGGCGCCUAGCAUCUCCUUUUAAAGUCCCAGGAGUAUUGCCUUUCUAUUCUUGACUAUGAAUUCAUCACCGGGCGCCAGAUGUGUUUUCUUCUAAAUCUGUUCGCGCGCCUGUGUUUCUUUCUACGUACAGAUUAGCAGUCCUGUAACUUGUGGUAAGCUUUAAUUUCCUGCCUGGAAUUAUCAACGGCUACUUUCUACAGAGCACCCGGAUCCGUGACGUGGACAAGUUAUCUUUUCAAGGUGCAUGUAAUGUAUCCAUUCGUUGGUGGUUCUACGCUCUCCCUCCGUAUCAAGUGCUUUACAGUGGUAUUUUCGUAAACAAAUUUGGGAAGGCAGUAAAGUUUUUCCUUCCAUCGUUUCGUACCAACAAAUUAGAGUUGGAGGCAUCCCAUCUCAAGCUGUCUCUUUGGUUAAAAAGUUCGGGUGUUAAUUGAUAUGGACAAAAAUUUGCUUGGCUGGACGUGACAGAUUGACUGUUAACAGAUUGGCCUGAACCAACAAAAUUACUGGAAAAAGCAUGGAGAUGUUGCAGCACACCUUCUUGUUUGCAAUUUUUUGAGUCAACCUGAUUUACAAGUGAAGCUACAAGAAAGAUACAAGCGAGAGCUACGAAUACAUUCACAGUACUGUGGACUUCUGACCGUUCUUCCUCAAGUAAUUAUCUCUGUGCCCAUGCAAAACCAAAACAAAAAAAAGCAUCUUUGUGAACUGCUUGACGUUGCAAAUGGUUGUUAACAUGUACUCCCUCCGUCCGAGAAAGUUUGUCCCAAGUUUAUCCCUCAAAUGGAUGUAUCUGGCAUAAGCGAUGCCAACACAUAGUGACAUGCUAUAUUCUUAUCUUAAGUGACAACGUUUUAUGGCAGUCUGGCAAUUCAUUCCAUGUAACAAUUAGCGCACAUCCACCUGUUGUAACUGUCUCCCUUCGUAAAAAUCACAGCCGCGCUCCAGUUCCAUAGGCCACAACUUGGCAUCCAAAGCAAUAUGGGGAAGGAAGAAGCGACGACGGAACGGCUAGGAUUUCGACCGCCACCGCCUAAGGGCAUCACUGUAGUCGCCUUCGGCUGUGCAUGGUUCGUCGACAACCGCCGACCAUCUCUCAUCCCCUUUUCUCCCCAUCUCCAACCUCUAUGCCUAGGCGCAACGAGCGAGCACCUGCAGCAACAUCGAGCUCCUAGAUGCAUGGACAUGGUGAAGAAUGUGCUGAACAUGCCACGGAAUGGUUCCUUCCAUAAUCUAGCAUUUGAUUUUUGUGGCGAAAAAUUAUUCAAGAAGUUGGACGCCUAUUAGAUGUUUGUGUAAUGCAUGUUAACAACGCUUACAAGCUUAACGAACUUCAAAUGAGGCGAGCCGAGAAGGCUUUUGCUUGUUAUAAGCUAAAUGAGCCGGGUAGCUUGUUAAUCCACCCCUAGACGCCACCUAUGGGUCGAGUAGUGAGCGACCGGGAGGGUCAUCCCUCGCCCCUCCACGCCAUCUCCUCCACAAUUUGGUAUUUCCAUAAUGAUAGAAUUUUCAUUUAAGUAUAUUUCGCCUAUUGUAUUGUUCACUAAUGAACUUCUUCACAUUUCCAGGAUUAAUCUCAACAUCCAAUUAUCGGAUAACUUGAACACAACUUAGUUCAGCAGUUGUAAGUCCAGCCAAUGGUUACAUGGAUAUGAACAUAUAUAGUCCAAGAUGGAUGUGGACUAAAAUAAUACAAAAUGCAUUUUCCCCUUG